GAGGGCGCGCGAGGCGCCGCACGGGGGAGGCUUCUCCGAAAGCCGCGAGGGCAGCUCCCGUGUGUCCGCUGUGCAAACCGGUCCUUCCGCCAAAAACCUGCUGUCUGGCUUUUCUCAGCAGGACUUUCUGUAGAUUUAGACAAACUGAUUCUAAAUGCACCACACGUGGAAAAAUGAAAGAAGACUCACAUAACCCAACGUUACACUGACUGUGGAGUGACAGCGUGAGGCCAGCUUGGUGUUGGAGAAGGGGCAGACACACACCGAGGGAAGACGAUGGAGAUCCCAGAAACGGACGCACACAAAUAUGGCUCAUGGAUUAUUGACCAAGGCCUCCCUGGAUGGAUGUUGGGAGAGUUUACGCGUGGCCUUGUGGGAUCGCUGUGGCGGACUCUCAGCUAUCAGAGGGCUCCAUCACUCCAUCGUAAGGAGGCAGCUGGUGGCGAGUCCUGAGCAGGGAUGUGAUCCGACGGGCAGGCGGCGCCCGGGACAGAAGCUGACGUCACACAGGUGAGUCCCCCACCUCCCCACAGGCUUCCUCCACCCCCUCGGCAGCCCAGCAGGGCCUGUCAAUCAGUGGGACCUGGUCAGCUGGCUGCUAGGGGACCUCAGGCAGGGGGGCUUGUCCGCAGGGCCUCCAGCAAGGGGGGACAUUCAUGACACCCAGCAGGGCUCAAGAAGGUGAGACAGAGGGACACUGAACCCAGCCCUUUACAGAAGACCUGAGUCCACCGAGGAAGGGGGCCAACCCCCUCCCCGCGUCUGCAUCCCCAGGACCACCCCGGGUGGAGAGGGCCGAGUGUGGUGCCUCCGCGGGUGCUCUGACGAUCGUCUCGAGCCACGGGGGUGACAGUGACAAGGACCUGUGUGCACGUUAGUGGGGCAGCCAGGCCUAGCUGGAGAAGAAACACACACACGCACACGUUCACCCACAUACACGUGCACACACAUGCUGCCAGUUCAGGGGGUGGAGGACGCUGACUCCAGGCCCAGCUGACCUGCGCGGGGCCCUAUUGUGAUGUGUGCAGCCACCCCAUGACGUCACCGGUGCCAAGUGCCGGCUGUGUGCGGAGCAGUUGGAGACACAGUGGGUGUCCGAGGGGGGGCUCUGCGUCCGGAGGUGAGAGGUGGGUCUCAACACAGCUGCCCUCCCCCAUGGUAUGGUGACAGUCACUAACAGGUGGCCUGCGCUGGCCUCCACGUGGCUGCCAAGGGCCAUCCCUGAGCACUCAGCGGGUGCCUGUUCCACACGGACUAUGAAAAUGACUGUCUCGUUCACCUCACGGCGACCCCGUGGGGUGGAUACGAACUCACGCCAUUUGACAGGCGAGACGUCCGAGGUCAGAGGGGAGGAGACGGACCCGACCUUCCUUGGCUGUGCUCUCCAGCCCUGUCCUGUGCUGGACCCAACCUAACCUCUGCAGCCUCCCUGCCCUGGACACAAAUCUGGCUGAGACCCCAGACCCUGAUGGGGCAGAGCCUGGCACUGGAGGAGCCACCAGGAUGGGCCCCUGUGGGUGUGGGCAGAGGGUGAUCCUCAGUUCAGGUUUUUGCCAGAAGAUGGGUUCCUGCAGGAGGGGGUCUCAGCAGCUCAGACUUCAGAUGCGCUCACUGCUGCUCACUGUGGGACAGCCAGACACGGAGCCCUCUGUUCUCCAGCAGUUGUGGACAAUGAGGGAUCCCUGGAGGGAUGCCUGGUGGGCAGCAGGAGUCCCUCUUGUGGGUCAGGGUGCGGGGAUGGGCUCUCCCUGCAGGGACUUCCCAGUCUUGUCCUCUGGGAUUGGCAGUUUGCAGGGGUAUCCUCGGCAUCAGACCAGGGGGGCCACACAGGGACCCAGAUCUAUGGGGCCCAGCCCCGGGAAGACCAGAUGGGCUCAGUGGAGAAGCUGACCACAUCUGCUUUCCUUUCAGCCAAACCGGGGAGCGUCCCGGCACCCAGGCCUCUGCGGGUAACCCCAGGCAUCAAGACCCUCCCUCAAGGGGAGGAGCUGGCUCUCCCCUGCCCAUCAGCACAGCUCCAGAAUCCCAAGGGGUCAGCUCCCACAUGGGGGCCUGGUCCUGCCACACACUGGCCUAGCUGGGCUGUCCCCGAGGCCAAGGCCUAGCGGCAUGAGGGGGCUUCCGUGGAGCCCAGGGCAGUGGGCUGCUCUCUGGAGUCCCUAGGACUCGGGGUGUGGCUGGCCUGUCCCCAGAUCAGGACACACCCCAGGUUGUCCAGUGGUUCCCGUGCUGGAACUCCUGUUGAAGCCACCCAGGGACCUGGAUGCUUCCCACAGUUCAGCAUGGAGCAGGGGUGCUGGGCCCUGACCCCUCCACGUCUGUCCUGGACACCCCAGGACCACAGCACAGGCCCAGCCCUGCAACCCCAGCGGGGCCCUGAUACCAGGCCCUGCCCAGCCCCGUAAUGACCAAGAGGCAGGUCCAGAGAUACCUCCUGCACAGGGUCACCUGCAUCUGACGCCCCCAGCAGGCAGUGACCAGCACGGUGUGGAAGGAGCCAGGGUGGCACCCGGCAGCCCUAGAGGGCUCCUGGCCUCGGGAAGUCUAUCGAUGGGGAAGCUGGUCACUCGGAGGCUGCUGGGGAGAAGGGGGAGUGUGGCAUUCCCUGGACAGAAGGGCAAGUGUGGCGUCCCCUGGAGAGAAGGGCGAGUGUGGCGUCCCCUGGAGAGAAGGGCGAGUGUGGCGUCCCCUGGAGAGAAGGGCGAGUGUGGCGUCCCCUGGACAGAAGGGGGAGUGUGGCGUCCCCUGGAGAGAAGGGGGAGUGUGGCGUCCCCUGGAGAGAAGGGGGAGUGUGGCGUCCCCUGGAGAGAAGGGCGAGUGUGGCGUCCCCUGGACAGAAGGGGGAGUGUGGCGUCCCCUGGAGAGAAGGGGGAGUGUGGCGUCCCCUGGAGAGAAGGGGGAGUGUGGCGUCCCCUGGAGAGAAGGGGGAGUGUGGCGUCCCCUGGAGAGAAGGGCGAGUGUGGCGUCCCCUGGAGAGAAGGGCGAGUGUGGCGUCCCCUGGACAGAAGGGGGAGUGUGGCGUCCCCUGGAGAGAAGGGCCAGUGUGGCGUCCCCUGGAGAGAAGGGGGAGUGUGGCGUCCCCUGGAGAGAAGGGGGAGUGUGGCGUCCCCUGGACAGAAGGGGGAGUGUGGCGUCCCCUGGAGAGAAGGGCCAGUGUGGCGUCCCCUGGAGAGAAGGGCGAGUGUGGCGUCCCCUGGACAGAAGGGGGAGUGUGGCGUCCCCUGGAGAGAAGGGCGAGUGUGGCGUCCCCUGGAGAGAAGGGCGAGUGUGGCGUCCCCUGGAGAGAAGGGGGAGUGUGGCGUCCCCUGGACAGAAGGGGGAGUGUGGCGUCCCCUGGAGAGAAGGGCGAGUGUGGUGUUCGCUGGAGAGAAGGGCGAGUGUGGUAUUCCCUGGACAAAAGGGGGAGUGUCCCUGCAGCCCUGGCCAGCCAGCGGCAUGCCCUGCUAGCUCUCCCCCAACCUCAGGGAUAGGGAACCCUGACAGGGCACAAGUCCCCGUCCCAGAGGGGCCUGGCCCAGCCUCAACCCGGGCCCUGGGAGGGGAGGGGCACCAGGGGCGCUGUGGGCCCCCAGCAGAAGCCAGGAUGACCACACAGGGGACUGAGCUGUCUGUGGCUGUGGCCAGACCUAGAACUUGGCCCAAGGCAGGGCAAGCCCCUUGGAGCAGAGUGGGUGGCAGAGCCUGUGUAUACCCAGCAAGGCUGAGCCAGUGACACUACCAGGCUCCAAGAGCAACCAGCCAUGAGGCAGGCGUGGGGCAAGGGUAGGGUGAGGGCAGGGGCGGGGGAGAGUGGGGCAGGAGCAGACGGACCAGCUGCCAACCUCGUCCACUCCAGGAGGCAGGGAUGGCCAGGCUCCCACGCCCUACUGGCCGCUACCCGACCACCAAUGAGGCAGAGGCCUGAGGCCAGUCGGUGCUGGAGCCCUACUUCCAAGGUCCACAGACCGCUUCAGGCCACAGAGCCGAAGAAAACUGGGCAUGUGAAGGCCCAGGAGGCGGGGUCCCUAUGUCUGCCAUUCUUGGCAGGUGCAUUUCACGCUGGGAGCAAGUCAGGAAAGGUGAUGCCUCUCACCGCCAAGAAGGCUCCCAGCAGAGACCAGAGCCACCGGCACAGAUCCCCAACCCCUGAAACCACCUCCCUCUGGAGGACCAGGACGCCCUCCUAGUUGGUAGAAGCACAGUAAGCUCUCUGUCCUUAUGAUCUGCCUGCUUGUCCAGAGCUCUCUGCCAGAAGCCGUGGACACUGGGGCAGGCGGGAGGAGAGAGCACCACAGCCCAGACCCCUGACCGGCCUCUCCCAACCUCCCCCUCCCAAAGGCUAUGGAGAGCCCAGGGCUGGACAGGCCUGAGGUUCCGACAUACCUCAUGCCAGGCCACACGCGCACCGUGUCCCACCCUCAGCCGAAAACCAAGAUCAAGACCAUCCAAUAAUUUACUGUGAUCCCAUCUGUGCCCGACAAGGGCCCACAGAGGCCUGGGAGGGGAGCUAAGGGCUGGGGUUCCGGUG
This 4507-nucleotide long non-coding RNA is filed under the name Homo sapiens (human). Its description in RNAcentral is "non-protein coding lnc-LRRC56-1:11". The record is from RNAcentral. Lineage: Eukaryota; Metazoa; Chordata; Mammalia; Primates; Hominidae.